Molecule: non-coding RNA, 137 nt
Organism: Blastococcus sp.
Lineage: Bacteria; Bacillati; Actinomycetota; Actinomycetes; Geodermatophilales; Geodermatophilaceae
Source: Rfam
UUGCCGGUGGAAGUCCGGUCCGGGUAGCUGCCAGGAGGCCCGGUAGCAGACUGGCGGCUCGGUCUGGAAACGGGCCGGGUCGGAGCCCAGUGUCGAAAGCCCUGCAAGGGGGAGCGACUGGACGGUCCGCAGCAUCA